AGCCCUUCUGGCCAUGGCAAGGCCCUGCAUCAGCUGAGAAUAUGUCUCUUGAUCCCUGCUCUUUCCAGUUUCCCCUUCCACUAGAUUAGCCCUUUUUGAAUCAGAAAUCCAGAAUCCAAAUUAGGGUUUUUUUAUAAAGGGCAAAAAGGUGGAUUCUGUUCUUCAUUCUCUCUCUCUCUCUCUCCUGCUUUCCGCGCGGAGAUUCUGCAAUGAAACUGAAGCAAUUGGAAGGUCUCCUGGGCGAUCUUCAACAGUUCUCCAACCCAAAGGUGGAGCUGGAACAGUACCCAACCGGACCUCACAUUGCUUCUCGCAUGCUUUACACUGCAGAGAAUUCGUUCGGAGAUGUGAGCGAAAGAGUCGUAGCUGAUUUCGGAUGUGGUUGUGGUACUUUGGGUAUUGCGGCGGCUCUCUUAGGGGCAGAGCAUGUCGUCGGGAUUGAUGUCGAUUCUCAGUCUCUUGAAAUCGCGUCUAUGAAUGCACAGGAGCUUGAGGUGGAAUUGAACUUGGUUCAAUGUGAUCUCAGGAACUUGGAUUUUAGGGGCGAGAUUGUUGAUACUGUCGUAAUGAAUCCUCCUUUUGGUACCCGGAAAAAAGGGGCGGACAUGGAGUUUCUCAGAAUGGCUCUUGCGGUUGCCUCUCAAGCAGUUUAUUCGUUGCAUAAAACAUCAACAAGAGAACAUGUCAAGAAGGCAGCGCUGCGGGACUUCAAUGCUGGCAGUGCUGAAGUUUUGUGUGAGCUUCGGUAUGAUGUGCCUCAAAUGUACAAGUUUCACAAGAAAAGGGAGGUGGACAUUGCUGUGGACCUCUGGCGCUUUGUACCACAAGGAGCUUAGGCAAAACCGCGAAAGUGUUUGCACAUUUACUUGAAACCAUUGUACUUAGAAGCCGAGAUGUAUUAUGUCUGUUCAAAACAUUGGUAGGUUGUUCGCUUCAGCUGCCGAAAAUUAAGCACCUUCUCUUGACAUUUGUAAUUUAUCAAGGUAAGAACUUGUUUCAACCUGUUGCAUAUGCCAUAUUGAUGAAUAUUACUCAAAA
Molecule: RNA transcript, 1038 nt
Organism: Rhodamnia argentea
Lineage: Eukaryota; Viridiplantae; Streptophyta; Magnoliopsida; Myrtales; Myrtaceae
Gene name: rRNA N6-adenosine-methyltransferase METTL5
Exons: 10
Source: RefSeq, a predicted model, not a curated record